Molecule: ribosomal RNA, 301 nt
Filed under: uncultured bacterium
Lineage: Bacteria
Description: partial 16S ribosomal RNA
Rfam family: Bacterial small subunit ribosomal RNA
Source: RNAcentral
CAGCAGCCGCGGGAAUACAGAGGGUGCGAGCGUUGAUCGGAUUUACUGGGCGUAAAGCGUGCGUAGGCGGCUUCUUAAGUCGGAUGUGAAAUCCCUGAGCUUAACUUAGGAAUUGCAUUCGAUACUGGGAAGCUAGAGUAUGGGAGAGGAUGGUAGAAUUCCAGGUGUAGCGGUGAAAUGCGUAGAGAUCUGGAGGAAUACCGAUGGCGAAGGCAGCCAUCUGGCCUAAUACUGACGCUGAGGUACGAAAGCAUGGGGAGCAAACAGGAUUAGAUACCCCCGUAGUCCCUGUCUCUUAUAC